AAAACGGCCCUUUUAGGGCCACAUUAAUUUAAUUUAUUUGUCUAU
Molecule: non-coding RNA, 45 nt
Organism: Echinostoma caproni
Lineage: Eukaryota; Metazoa; Platyhelminthes; Trematoda; Plagiorchiida; Echinostomatidae
Source: Rfam